Molecule: ribosomal RNA, 261 nt
Filed under: uncultured bacterium
Lineage: Bacteria
Description: partial 16S ribosomal RNA
Rfam family: Bacterial small subunit ribosomal RNA
Source: RNAcentral
AAGCGGCGGACGGGUGAGUAACGCGUGGGUAACCUGCCCUGUACACACGGAUAACAUACCGAAAGGUAUGCUAAUACGAGAUAAAAUACUUUUAUCGCAUGGUGGAAGUAUCAAAGCUUUUGCGGUACAGGAUGGACCCGCGUCUGAUUAGCUAGUUGGUAAGGUAACGGCUUACCAAGGCGACGAUCAGUAGCCGACCUGAGAGGGUGAUCGGCCACAUUGGAACUGAGACACGGUCCAAACUCCUACGGGAGGCAGCAG